RNAcentral lists this ribosomal RNA (363 nucleotides) under uncultured organism. RNAcentral describes it as "partial 16S ribosomal RNA". It matches the Rfam family "Bacterial small subunit ribosomal RNA", at positions 527 to 896 of the family's 1533-position model. The record is from RNAcentral.
GUAGGGACCAAGCGUUAUCCGGAAUUAUUGGGCGUAAAGGGUGCGUAGGCGGCCAUGUAAGUCUAAGUUAAAAGCCCACAGCUUAACUGUGGAAGGUGCUUAGAAACUGUAUGGCUUGAAUUCAGAAGAGGCAAGUGGAAUUCUAUGUGGAGCGGUGGAAUGCGUAGAUAUAUGGAGGAACACCAGUGGCGAAGGCGGCUUGCUGGGCUGAUAUUGACGCUGAUGCACGAAAGCGUGGGGAGCAAACAGGAUUAGAUACCCUGGUAGUCCACGCCCGUAAACGAUGAGUACUAAGUGUUGGAGAAAUUCAGUGCUGAACUUAACAGAUUAAGUACUCCGCCUGGGAUUACGACCGCAAGGUUG